Molecule: microRNA precursor, 281 nt
Filed under: Selaginella moellendorffii
Lineage: Eukaryota; Viridiplantae; Streptophyta; Lycopodiopsida; Selaginellales; Selaginellaceae
Description: miR1095b stem-loop (smo-MIR1095b)
Source: miRBase by way of RNAcentral
AGGUUUGAGCUUGGUAACAGGGGAACCUAGACUGUAAUUUGCUGCUUGCUUUGAUUCCCUUCGUCCUUCCACCGCCAUUCCAGUCUUUGCAGUCACUGUUUCCGAAAAGUUUCGAGAAAAGGAAGAACACUGCUUGGACGCAAGCUCGUCUUGACUCGUUGUGGUGGUUUGGAUUUGUGCAUUUGCGCCAAGGAUUUCGAGUUUCUUGUCUGCUUUCGUCUGGAGGAGAUCGAUGUAUGCUUGUGCUCUAGGUUCCCUUGUUUCCAAAUUCAAGUCUGGUA